CAGCCGCCGCGGUAAUACCGGCGGCCCGAGUGGCGGUCACUAUUAUUGGGCUUAAAGCGUCCGUAGCCGGGUUGGGAAGUCCUCCGGGAAAUCUGGCCGCUUAACGGUCAGAAUGCCGGAGGAUACUCCCAGCCUAGGGAGCGGGAGAGGCCGAGGGUAUUCCCGGGGUAGGGGUGAAAUCCUAUAAUCCCGGGAGGACCACCGGUGGCGAAGGCGCUCGGCUGGAACGCGUCCGACGGUGAGGGACGAAGGCCAGGGGAGCAAACCGGAUUAGAUACCCGGGUAGUCCUGGCUGUAAACGAUGCGGACUUUGUGUCGGACAAGCUAUGAGCUUGUCCGGUGCCGGAGGGAAACCGUUAAGUCCGCCGCCUGGGGAGUACGGCCGCAAGGCUGAAACUUAAAGGAAUUGGCGGG
This 414-nucleotide ribosomal RNA is filed under the name uncultured microorganism. RNAcentral describes it as "bacterial SSU rRNA". It matches the Rfam family "Archaeal small subunit ribosomal RNA", at positions 459 to 872 of the family's 1478-position model. The record is from RNAcentral.